UACGGAGGGGGCGAGCGUUAUUCGGAAUUAUUGGGCGUAAAGGGCGCGUAGGCAGCCCGGUAAGUCAAAGGUGAAAUCCCUCGGCUCAACUGAGGAACUGCCUUUGAAACUGUCGGGCUUGAGGCCGGGAGGGGGUAGCGGAAUUCCCAGUGUAGCGGUGAAAUGCGUAGAUAUUGGGAGGAACACCAGUGGCGAAGGCGGCUACCUGGACCGGUUCUGACGCUGAGGCGCGAAAGCGUGGGUAGCAAACAGG
Molecule: ribosomal RNA, 253 nt
Filed under: uncultured bacterium
Lineage: Bacteria
Description: partial 16S ribosomal RNA
Rfam family: Bacterial small subunit ribosomal RNA
Source: RNAcentral